Molecule: ribosomal RNA, 562 nt
Filed under: uncultured bacterium
Lineage: Bacteria
Description: bacterial SSU rRNA
Rfam family: Bacterial small subunit ribosomal RNA
Source: RNAcentral
CCUACGGGAGGCAGCAGCAAGGAAUCUUCCGCAAUGGGCGAAAGCCUGACGGAGCAACGCCGCGUGUGGGAUGACGCCUUUCGGGGUGUAAACCACUUUUCUCAGGGAAGAAGCACUGACGGUACCUGAGGAAGAAGGACCGGCUAACUACGUGCCAGCAGCCGCGGUAAUACGUAGGGUCCGAGCGUUGCCCGGAGUUACUGGGCGUAAAGCGCGCGCAGGCGGCGGUGUAAGCAUGGCGUGAAAGCCCCUGGCUUAACCAGGGAGGGUCGUCGUGGACUGCACCGCUUGAGGGCGGUAGGGGCUGGUGGAAUGCCUGGUGUAGUGGUGAAAUGCGUAGAGAUCAGGCGGAACACCCGUGGCGAAGGCGGCCAGCUGGGCCGUCCCUGACGCUGAGGCGCGAAGGCGUGGGGAGCGAACGGGAUUAGAUACCCCGGUAGUCCACGCAGUAAACGAUGCAGACUAGGCGUGGGGGGAGUGACCCCCUCCGUGCCGGAGCCAACGCGGGAAGUCUGCCGCCUGGGGAUACGCCGGCAAGGCUAAAACUCAAAUGAAUUGACGG